Molecule: long non-coding RNA, 1104 nt
Filed under: Homo sapiens (human)
Lineage: Eukaryota; Metazoa; Chordata; Mammalia; Primates; Hominidae
Description: HSALNT0150940
Source: RNAcentral
ACAGGGCUGGAGGAGCAAUUGGAGGAGCCCAGCAGGCUGGACACAUGUGGAGAGUUGAUAUGGAAACUGAGCCCUCACACAUGGACUGAAUUCUGACAAGCAGAGGAUAAAGGCAGAACAACAUGACUGAAGGGAAGAUGCUUUUGUGAUAUAUCCCAGCAUGCUGAUGACCCCAAGGAGGACCACUGGAUACCUAGCAAGGAAAAAGAAGAACUGAUUGAAGAGUGGCAACCAGAACCUCUUGUUCCUCCUGUCCCAAAAGACCAUCCUGCUCUCAACUACAACAUCGUUUCAGGAAAAACAUCAAGAAAAGGGCAGUAAGAAUGUUAUUUAAAAAUAUGGAGGUAAAUUUCAGAAGAAAAUGCCGAAAAUGUUUGCCUUUGGAAAACGAGAAUCAAGGGUGAGAAUGGAAACAUCUGCGUGAGAAGGGCCCCUCUCAUAAAAUGAAAACAAAGGACAGAAAGCAUUGCUGAGGGCUUAAGGUGUGGAUGAAAUGACACAUUGAAGCUGAAGAAUCCCCAUGUUGACAGCAUUCAAUCCAAGAAAAGCUCCACUGUACACAUGUUCUAACAUAUGAGUGAUCCAAAAGAGAGAGCUUCACAUACAAUAUCCUAUGCCUACUUUCUCAGCUCAGAGAGAGAGGCUCAGUCAUUCAUAAACUGGAGCAACAUUCAUGUACUGCGGACCACUUUGAAAGACUUAUCUGUCUCCUGUUUACAGAUGUGUACAGCAAGCUGCAAAGCACUGCCUGUCCUUUUACUCACAAUCAAUUGCAGAGAACAUGAAGUACAGAAGACAACAGCUUUUUUUUUCUUUUGGAAAAUCCCUUAAGUCCUUUCCGUGCUGUGCUAUCAUUGUUCAGGUGCUAAAGUGAAAUAAAUGUGUCGUCUAAUCACUAAGGUGUCAUGAACUCAAAAAUUUAACUGGCAGUGAAGAGUCAGGGAACAUUGUAAUUUUGCCUUGUCACAGGAAUACUAGUUCAAAAGUGGGAGGAAUGUAUUUGCCAAUAUGGUCUACAUCUUCAAAUGCACAUUGUUUACUCAAACUUCAUAGGCACAUGUUCAAUGAAGGGCAUAAAAAAGACAUUUACAAAGCUCAUUGAAA